Small nuclear RNA from Heterocephalus glaber (naked mole-rat), 108 nucleotides. The record is from Ensembl. Lineage: Eukaryota; Metazoa; Chordata; Mammalia; Rodentia; Bathyergidae.
GUGCUCAUUUUGGUAGCACAUACACUAAAAUUGGAACGACACAGAGAUGAUUAGUAUGGCCCCUGAGCGAGGAAAUUAUGUCAUUUUUGUUACAAGACACAGUAAAAU